Molecule: small RNA, 175 nt
Filed under: Crocodylus porosus (Australian saltwater crocodile)
Lineage: Eukaryota; Metazoa; Chordata; Crocodylia; Crocodylidae
Description: TUC338 (ENSCPRG00005005071.1)
Source: RNAcentral
UUUAAAGCCUGGGGUGCUGAAGUCUGUUUUCCCACAGAGCAGGUACAGCAUGGGCAAACAGCAGCAUGCAUUCUUCCACAGAGUGCAGUGCCAGUGUGCUAUAAAUGACAGUAAGGUACCUCCAGGGAUCAAAAGGUAGUUCAGAUUUCAUGGCCUCUUUAAACCUUUGGCCAAC